UUAUUAAAGCAGAAGUGAUCCGCUUCUCACCUUACAAAGCUAAGAGCUACUAGGGUUUAAACAAUGAUUUAAAAGCGGACAGCUCAUGCUGCCCGCUUUUAUUAUUUAAU
Dialister sp. CAG:357 is the source of this 110-nucleotide regulatory RNA element. It matches the Rfam family "Ribosomal protein L20 leader". Rfam says of the family: This family is a putative r-protein leader autoregulatory structure found in B. subtilis and other low-GC Gram-positive bacteria. It is located in the 5' untranslated regions of mRNAs encoding initiation factor 3 followed by ribosomal proteins L35 and L20 (infC-rpmI-rplT). NCBI's taxonomy places the organism in Bacteria, Bacillati, Bacillota, Negativicutes, Veillonellales, Veillonellaceae. The record is from Rfam.